RNAcentral lists this ribosomal RNA (440 nucleotides) under uncultured bacterium. RNAcentral's name for it is "bacterial SSU rRNA". It matches the Rfam family "Bacterial small subunit ribosomal RNA", at positions 338 to 769 of the family's 1533-position model. The record is from RNAcentral.
CCUACGGGAGGCAGCAGUGGGGAAUAUUGGGCAAUGGGCGCAAGCCUGACCCAGCGACGCCGCGUGCGGGAGGACGCUUUUCGGAGUGUAAACCGCUGUCAGGAGGGACGAACGGCCGGGGUGGGAAUACUGCUCCGGAUUGACGGUACCUCCAAAGGAAGCGCCGGCUAACUCCGUGCCAGCAGCCGCGGUAAGACGGAGGGCGCAAGCGUUGUUCGGAAUCACUGGGCGUAAAGCGCGCGCAGGCGGGUGUGCAAGUCGGAAGUGAAAUCCCGGGGCUCAACUCCGGGGCUGCUCCCGAAACUGCUCACCUGGAGACCGGUAGAGGUGGGUAGAAUUCCCGGUGUAGCGGUGGAAUGCGUAGAGAUCGGGAAGAAUACCUGUGGCGAAGGCGGCCCACUGGGCCGGUUCUGACGCUGAGGCGCGAAAGCGUGGGGAGC